CCUAACAGCUAGCCCACUAAUUCAUCCAACAUCCACUUAUUAAUAACCCCUCACACACUAAAACUAAAAAUCAAACCAUUUUUCCCCCUAAGUAUGGGCGACAGAAAAGGAACCCAGGAGCAACAGAAAAAGUACCGCAAGGGAACGCUGAAAGAGAAAUGAAACAACCCAGUAAAGCCCAAAAAAGCAGAGAUUCCAUCUCGUACCUUUUGCAUCAUGAUUUAGCAAGUAUAACCAAGCAAAAAGAAUUUUAGUUUGGCCCCCCGAAACCAAGUGAGCUACUCCAAGACAACCUAAAAUAAGGGUAAACCCGUCUCUGUGGCAAAAGAGUGGGAAGAGCUUUGAGUAGCGGUGACAGACCUAUCGAACUUGGUAAUAGCUGGUUGCUUGAGAAAUGAAUAGGAGUUCUGCUUCUUAUAUUCUCACCCCGCUCUGGUCGUUUGAGCCCUACCGCAGGUAAAAGAAGAUAAGAAAGUUAAUCAAAGGGGGUACAGCCCCUUUGAGACAAAGUACAACUUUUUUAGGAGGGUAAAGAUCAUAAUUUUUAAGGUGACUAUGUUUUGGUGGGCCUAAAAGCAGCCAUCCCAUUAGAAAGCGUUAAAGCUCUAACAUAUCCUCCGCCCCCGAUCCCGAUAACAAAUCUUAGCCCCCUACACAUAUCAAGCCGUCCCAUACAAACCAUGGGAGCGAUUAUGCUAAAAUGAGUAAUCAGAGAGCCCCACCUCUCUCCCUGUACAUGUGUAAAUCGGAACGGACCCUCCACCGAAACUUAACGGCCCCAAAACAACAGCGGGUACUGAAUGAUCAGCAGUUAACAAGAAAAUCAUCCAAAAUAUUGCCGUUGACCCCACACUGGUGUACUUCAAAAGAAAGACCAAAAGGAAAAGAAGGAACUCGGCAAAACCAUCAAAGCCUCGCCUGUUUACCAAAAACAUCGCCUCUUGCUAAUUACACAUAAGAGGUCCCGCCUGCCCUGUGACCCCCAGUUUAACGGCCGCGGUAUUUUGACCGUGCAAAGGUAGCGCAAUCACUUGUCCCUUAAAUGAGGACCUGUAUGAAUGGCACAACGAGGGCUUAACUGUCUCCUUUCCCCGGUCAAUGAAAUUGAUCUUCCCGUGCAGAAGCGGGAAUUCUAACAUAAGACGAGAAGACCCUAUGGAGCUUUAGACUCCAGAAUAGACCAUGUCAGCUAUUCCCGUUAAACAUAAUAGCAACUAUUGAGCCUCUAUUCUCUGUCUUUGGUUGGGGCGACCACGGGGAAGAAAAAAUCCCCCAUGUGGACCGGGAGCACCAAUCUCACUCCCACAACCACGAGCCACAGCUCUAAUGCGCAGAACUUCUGACCAUAUAGAUCCGGCAACUAGCCGAUCAACGGACCGAGUUACCCUAGGGAUAACAGCGCAAUCCCCUUUAAGAGUCCCUAUCGACAAGGGGGUUUACGACCUCGAUGUUGGAUCAAGACAUCCUAAUGGUGCAGCCGCUAUUAAGGGUUCGUUUGU
Molecule: ribosomal RNA, 1499 nt
Filed under: Moolgarda seheli (bluespot mullet)
Lineage: Eukaryota; Metazoa; Chordata; Actinopteri; Mugiliformes; Mugilidae
Description: partial 16S ribosomal RNA
Rfam family: Bacterial large subunit ribosomal RNA
Source: RNAcentral